CGCGUAGGCGGCUUGGCAAGUCUGGUGUGAAAUCCCACAGCUCAACUGUGGAACUGCAUCAGAAACUGCCUGGCUAGAGUGCGGGAGAGGAGAGUGGAAUUCCCAGUGUAGAGGUGAAAUUCGUAGAUACUGGGAGGAACACCGGUGGCGAAGGCGGCUCUCUGGACCGCAACUGACGCUGAGGCGCGAAAGCUAGGGGAGCGAACG
RNAcentral lists this ribosomal RNA (207 nucleotides) under uncultured bacterium. RNAcentral describes it as "partial 16S ribosomal RNA". It matches the Rfam family "Bacterial small subunit ribosomal RNA", at positions 568 to 774 of the family's 1533-position model. The record is from RNAcentral.